UACAGAGGGUGCAAGCGUUAAUCGGAGUUACUGGGCGUAAAGCGCGCGCAGGCGGUUCUUCAAGUCAGUGGUGAAAGCCCGGAGCUCAACUCCGGAAUUGCCAUUGAAACUGUAGAACUUGAGGAUGAGAGAGGUGAGUGGAAUUCCCAGUGUAGAGGUGAAAUUCGUAGAUAUUGGGAAGAACACCGGUGGCGAAGGUGGCUCACUGGCUCAUUUCUGACGCUCAGGCGCGACAGCGUGGGGAUCAAACAGG
Molecule: ribosomal RNA, 253 nt
Filed under: uncultured prokaryote
Description: partial 16S ribosomal RNA
Rfam family: Bacterial small subunit ribosomal RNA
Source: RNAcentral